This 460-nucleotide ribosomal RNA is filed under the name uncultured bacterium. RNAcentral describes it as "partial 16S ribosomal RNA". It matches the Rfam family "Bacterial small subunit ribosomal RNA", at positions 338 to 795 of the family's 1533-position model. The record is from RNAcentral.
CCUACGGGUGGCAGCAGUGAGGAAUAUUGGUCAAUGGGCGGAAGCCUGAACCAGCCAAGUAGCGUGCAGGAUGACGGCCCUACGGGUUGUAAACUUCUUUUAUAUGGGAAUAAAAUGUUCCACGUGUGGGAUUUUGUAUGUACCAUAUGAAUAAGGAUCGGCUAACUCCGUGCCAGCAGCCGCGGUAAUACGGAGGAUCCGAGCGUUAUCCGGAUUUAUUGGGUUUAAAGGGAGCGUAGGUGGAUUGUUAAGUCAGUUGUGAAAGUUUGCGGCUCAACCGUAAAAUUGCAGUUGAAACUGGCAGUCUUGAGUACAGUAGAGGUGUGCGGAAUUCGUGGUGUAGCGGUGAAAUGCUUAGAUAUCACGAAGAACUCCGAUUGCGAAGGCAGCUCACUGGACUGCAACUGACACUGAGGCUCGAAAGUGUGGGUAUCAAACAGGAUUAGAUACCCGGGUAGUC